GAUGAAGAACGUAGCAAAAUGCGAUAAGUAAUGUGAAUUGCAGAAUUCAGUGAAUCAUCGAAUCUUUGAACGCACAUUGCGCCCGCCAGUAUUCUGGCGGGCAUGCCUGUUCGAGCGUCAUUUCAACCCUCAAGCACAGCUUGGUGUUGGGACUCGCGUUAAUUCGCGUUCCCCAAAUUGAUUGGCGGUCACGUCGAGCUUCCAUAGCGUAGUAGUAAAACCCUCGUUACUGGUAAUCGUCGCGGCCACGCCGUUAAACCCUAACUUCUGAAUGUUGACCUCGGAUCAGGUAGGAAUACCCGCUGAACUUAAGCAUAUCAAUAAGCGGAGGA
This 332-nucleotide unclassified non-coding RNA is filed under the name soil metagenome. RNAcentral describes it as "partial contains 5.8S ribosomal RNA, internal transcribed spacer 2, and large subunit ribosomal RNA". The stretch from base 1 to 120 matches the Rfam family "5.8S ribosomal RNA", at positions 35 to 154 of the family's 154-position model. The record is from RNAcentral.